RNAcentral lists this long non-coding RNA (354 nucleotides) under Homo sapiens (human). RNAcentral describes it as "non-protein coding lnc-NRN1-6:1". Lineage: Eukaryota; Metazoa; Chordata; Mammalia; Primates; Hominidae. The record is from RNAcentral.
AUGGUCCGGCGUUUGACAUACUGUCGUAGGCUUUCCUGAAAUACAGCCUUUAACAAAACUAGGCUCCCCCGAACCCCUGGUAAUGGAAUUGUUUACCUUUAUACCAAGAAGGUUGGGAAAGCACCAAAAUCUGCAUGUGGCGUGUGCCCAGGCAGACUUCGAGGGGUUCUUGCUGUAAGACCUAAAGUUCUUAUGAGAUUGUCCAACACAAGGAAACAUGUCCGCAGGGCCUGUGGUGGUUUGAUGUGUGCUAAAUGUGUCUGUGACAGGAUCAAGGGCGCUUUCCUUAUCGAGGAGCAGAAAAUUGUUGUGAAAGUGUUGAAGGCACAUGCACGGGGUCAGAAAGCUAAAUAA